AUGGGGAGUAGGCACUUAAUGCACUCCAGGGCUCUAACAGUCCACCCACCCCUUACCCACACCAAGCUAGAAAGUCUGCAUUUGGGAAAGGAAGGGUGGGGGGGAAGUCAAGGGUGGGCUGCACCCUUCCAAUGUCUCCUUCCUCACUCCCCUGGGGGCCUCUUGGCUCCUCACUGCACUUCCCCCGAAUUGAGCUGGUGCACAUGGCUGGUGGGAAACCCUGUCUGUGAACCCUGCACCUCGGGCCCCCACAGCACAGCCCCCAAGGGGCCUGGAGGGCCCACGGCCAAGGGGCGCCUGGAGAGAGUGGCCCAUCGGCCACUGUCUCCAUCCGUCUCCCUCUCCCACGAGCCCCACCCAGGGGCCCCUCCCUGGCCCGGGCCACCAGCCCCCGGUCCAUGAGGUCCCUCAGAGACUGGUAACCAGUUGCAUCUGCCCGUCCCCGUCGGGGCCGGGCCCCCCAAGGCCCGGGGCCGCCAGGUAGCCCUCGUGGCUGGGCCGCCGGACCUGGUAGUAGCCCUGCAGG
This 526-nucleotide long non-coding RNA is filed under the name Ovis aries (sheep). Its description in RNAcentral is "lncRNA (ENSOARG00000025288.1)". Lineage: Eukaryota; Metazoa; Chordata; Mammalia; Artiodactyla; Bovidae. The record is from RNAcentral.